GUCUUUCUCAACGUUACCAUCCAAUUACUCCCCUUGUCUCUGGGAUGAAGACAUCUGCGCACAGAAAUAGUCAGCAGCAGACCUAAACUCUUGGGAUUUGCGGAAGAAAAUGCUGCAUUAUCAGUGUACUGGCUGCUCAUAGGUAAUGCCGGGACUGGCAGGAGAGUCCUGGGGGCUGAAGACUGUCCACUUCGUGGUGAAGGAAACCUGCAGGGAGAAGCCAUGCCAAAAGGAGGACAGAGCAGAAAGACUGAAGGAGCCGUGAACAUUGGUGGUGCGGUGCAGCCAUCAUAAUGGCCCUAUUCUUGGUGGAUUUAUUUCCCAUGAAGGAAACAGAAAUCCCUCUGAGGUUGAAGCCACUGUCAUUCAGAAUUACAACUGAAGCAAUGACUCUAUCAUGGCAUGGUAGGAAAUGGUUGUAUUUUGGGUUUUCAUCUACUUGGCUGAAGAAUGGGCAGGUUUGAUCCAAGAUCACCUUGAUUAUCUCUGCUGCCAAAAAAUACUUGCAAGUCAGGCAUUAAUAAGAAGAUAGUAUCUGUACCCUAUGAUUCAACUAUGUACAUGAAAUGUAAAAUAGUACUGAAUUUUUGUGGCAUGUAGUAGCUAGGCCUGUUUUUUCAACCCAGGGACAUGUUUUCUUACAUUGCUGCUCUCUCUUUUUUUUUUUAAUGAAAAAUGUAAUGCUAAUAAUUUGUACAAUUCGGGGAAAAAGA
Molecule: long non-coding RNA, 713 nt
Organism: Nyctereutes procyonoides (raccoon dog)
Lineage: Eukaryota; Metazoa; Chordata; Mammalia; Carnivora; Canidae
Exons: 4
Source: RefSeq, a predicted model, not a curated record